This is a long non-coding RNA of Canis lupus familiaris (dog), 1873 nucleotides long. RefSeq lists it as uncharacterized. NCBI's taxonomy places the organism in Eukaryota, Metazoa, Chordata, Mammalia, Carnivora, Canidae. The record is from RefSeq and is a predicted model, not a curated record. The transcript has 3 exons.
CACUACCUGAGAGAUGCAGACUCAGGUAUUGGUUCUGCUACGAAGAUAAUGGAAGCAACAGGUCUAUAUCAUCCCAGGUCCAUACUUCCAAUAUAUGUCUCCUCGGGACUCUGAAACUACUAAGUCCUGUUCUGUAUUUCAAAGACAUUCUGAACACCUUUCUCUGAAGAGCUUCAGAAAUCUGCAAAUACCUAAGAAAGUCACUGGAAACAGCACUGACAUUCUCAGCAAGAAGCACUGGACCAAGUUGUUCUCAAGGGUUCACCAGUAAUUCUCACUACAGUAAACACCUUGAGGAAACUACAUGCUUGAAGAAGAGAGAGGAGUGACGAAAUGAGAACAAUGAAGUGAGAGAAAGAAAUAAACAUCAAUCUUAGUUCUGGACCUAUAGAAGAUAAUUAUUUCUUUCAAGGAAAAAACAGUAAAGUACUAGAAGAGAGAGAUCAACUGAAAAAAUAAUUUGUAAACCAAAGGGGACCAGAACUUGAUGAUUUUGAAAAAUCAGCUUCUCCAAGUGGCAAAAGAUAUGAAAAGGCCAAAAGAGUGAUCAUACCACCUCUUGCAGAAACUUCAUAAAAUCAAAAGUUCAAGGUCAGCAUGUUUAGAUACACAAAGGGCCUUUUUAAUAGACUAAGGGUAUACCUCCUUAAACCUAUAAGUUAAAUUUUGGAGCACUAGAAUAUUUGAGAAUACUAUUUUUGAACCAUCUCAAUAGAACACCACUUUUAAAAAAAAGAUUAUAUUGAAGAAAGGAUAUGUGAUGGUAGCAUUUAUCUCAUGAAGUAAAAGCUAACAAAAUCCAUGUAAUAUCCAAAUACACUCAUUAUUAUUUUUAUAAUAUCCAAAUACAGUAUUAUGAAAAUAGUUUCAGCAGAAACACUGCCAAUUUGGAUUAAAAACGACAGAAAGAUACACAUUUUUAAAAAAUCCAAAAUUCUACUAACCAGAAGAAAAUUUAUAAAAUUAUUCAGUGGCAAGCAUGUGUCAUUUUCCAUGAAAAAGAAAGAAUAAAUAAGUAGGUAGGAGCAAGAUCCCAUAAGGUGGAGCCUAGAACCAAUGAACUACUUUGAAGCCUUGCAGGGUAAGAAACUCCCUCACCUUUGCUUGAUUAUAUUUCAGAACUUCAGUGAAGACUGACUCUUUUGCUUUUAUUUUAUCUGGAAUAUAGAAAGCUUUUAUCCUACAUCUAUUCUAUCAUUGAAUGUUGGGUUUAUUGAGGACAGUCAUCUCGUUUUUUUAGCUUCCAGGUCAUAGAUAAGGAAAUUUUUCUGCAGGAGAUGAACUUAAUGGAUUACAUUCAGAAGCCUCAUCUGUAUCUGUAUCAGACAUAUGUGAUGAGAUCCUGAACAAUAAAUAGAUGCUGAUAUGGUAUGAAAUUUUCAGGAAACUUGGAAAGGAGUGAAUGUAUUCUGCAGGUAUGAGAAAUGUGAAUCACUGGGGAUAUGAGGGAGCACUACAGAAGAAAUGCCCUAAGGUUAUACCCAAUGGGUGUUGAUUUGCUCCACUUGAGUAUGGUUGGCUCUGUGACUCACUUCUUAACCUUAACAAGGCACUAGGAUGAAUCUCGCAUGAUUAUGUUACCCUAAAUAAGACUCCAAUUUAGCCAUCCAGAGCCUUGAAGAAGCAAAGUUGCAUGAAGUAGAGAGGAUCACAUGGCAGGGAACUCUGGACCACCUCUAUAUACAGAGGAUCCCAGCUCUGUAGCUGCAAGGAACUGAAUUUUGUCAAUAACCAUGAAAACUGGGAAGAGGACCCUGAGCCACAGACAAAAUUUCAGCCCCACCUCACACCUUGGUUACAGCCUGAUGAGACCUUGAUCAAAUGAUCCAGCUAACCCAUGCCCAGAUUCCUGAUCCACAGAAAAUGUGGGAUA